CAAGUUGGUUGGAUAGUCGCCGUUUUGCUCUUACAGGGUAAAGGGGAGGAAAGUCCGGACUCCGCAGGGCAGCGUGCCGGAUAACGUCCGGGCAGUGCAAGCUGACAGCCAGUGCAACAGAGAGCAGACCGCCCGGCCGCUUGAUUCUUGGUAAUUAAGUGGCCGGGUAAGGGUGAAAGGGUGUGGUAAGAGCACACCGCAUCGGUGGCAACAUUCGGUGGCAAGGUAAACCUCACGCGGAGCAAGACCAAAUAGGAAAGCAAUAACUGCGGUUAUAACGGCGGCCCGUCGUGCUUUCGGGUAGGUUGCUUGACCCCCAUAGCAAUAUAGGGGCUAGAUAAAUGACUAUCUCGGCAGACGCUAGACAGAAUCCGGCUUACAGACCAACUUAUUUU
RNAcentral lists this RNase P RNA (395 nucleotides) under Gammaproteobacteria bacterium. RNAcentral describes it as "RNase P RNA component class A". It matches the Rfam family "Bacterial RNase P class A". From Rfam's summary of the family: Ribonuclease P (RNase P) is a ubiquitous endoribonuclease, found in archaea, bacteria and eukarya as well as chloroplasts and mitochondria. Its best characterised activity is the generation of mature 5'-ends of tRNAs by cleaving the 5'-leader elements of precursor-tRNAs. The record is from RNAcentral. Lineage: Bacteria; Pseudomonadati; Pseudomonadota; Gammaproteobacteria.